AAGAGUUUAAGUUAAUUAAACUAUUAGUCUUCAAAGCUGAAAAUAUUUGUAUAUCCAUUUAAUUCUUA
Molecule: transfer RNA, 68 nt
Filed under: Toxorhynchites speciosus
Lineage: Eukaryota; Metazoa; Arthropoda; Insecta; Diptera; Culicidae
Description: tRNA-Trp
Rfam family: tRNA
About the family: Transfer RNA (tRNA) molecules are approximately 80 nucleotides in length.
Source: RNAcentral